CCUACGGGGGCAGCAGUGGGGAAUAUUGGACAAUGGGCGAAAGCCUGAUCCAGCCAUGCCGCGUGUGUGAAGAAGGCCUUCGGGUUGUAAAGCACUUUCAGUGGGGAAGAAAGCCUUGGGGCUAAUACCCUCGAGGAAGGACAUCACCCACAGAAGAAGCACCGGCUAACUCCGUGCCAGCAGCCGCGGUAAUACGGAGGGUGCGAGCGUUAAUCGGAAUUACUGGGCGUAAAGCGCGCGUAGGCGGUCUGAUAAGCCGGUUGUGAAAGCCCCGGGCUCAACCUGGGAACGGCAUCCGGAACUGUCAGGCUAGAGUGCAGGAGAGGAAGGUAGAAUUCCCGGUGUAGCGGUGAAAUGCGUAGAGAUCGGGAGGAAUACCAGUGGCGAAGGCGGCCUUCUGGACUGACACUGACGCUGAGGUGCGAAAGCGUGGGUAGCAAACAGGAUUAGAUACCCCAGUAGUC
This 464-nucleotide ribosomal RNA is filed under the name Vreelandella stevensii. Its description in RNAcentral is "partial 16S ribosomal RNA". It matches the Rfam family "Bacterial small subunit ribosomal RNA", at positions 338 to 795 of the family's 1533-position model. The record is from RNAcentral. Lineage: Bacteria; Pseudomonadati; Pseudomonadota; Gammaproteobacteria; Oceanospirillales; Halomonadaceae.